GACGAACGCUGGCGGCGUGCUUAACACAUGCAAGUCGAACGGAAAGGCCCUGCUUUUGUGGGGUGCUCGAGUGGCGAACGGGUGAGUAACACGUGAGUAACCUGCCCUUGACUUUGGGAUAACUUCAGGAAACUGGGGCUAAUACCGGAUAGGAGCUCCUGCUGCAUGGUGGGGGUUGGAAAGUUUCGGCGGUUGGGGAUGGACUCGCGGCUUAUCAGCUUGUUGGUGGGGUAGUGGCUUACCAAGGCUUUGACGGGUAGCCGGCCUGAGAGGGUGACCGGCGACAUUGGGACUGCGAUACGGACCAGACUCCUACGGGAGGCAGCAGUGGGGAAUAUUGCACAAUGGGAGGAAGCCUGAUGAAGCAACGCCGCGUGCGGGAUGACGGCCUUCGGGUUGUAAACCGCUUUCGCCUGUGACGAAGCGUGAGUGACGGUAAUGGGUAAAGAAGCACCGGCUAACUACGUG
This 468-nucleotide ribosomal RNA is filed under the name uncultured bacterium. RNAcentral describes it as "partial 16S ribosomal RNA". It matches the Rfam family "Bacterial small subunit ribosomal RNA", at positions 28 to 507 of the family's 1533-position model. The record is from RNAcentral.